UAAAUUAUCCUACACAUGUACAAUUUUUUAAGAGAUUUAGGAAUGUAAAGUGAAAUAUCUAAUUAAACAUGUUCUUGAAAGUAUAGAUAGACAACUUGUUAAAUGAGAUAACUUAGAUUAUUUAAUAAUUAAAGCAACCUAAGGCCUGGCAUGCUUUUCAAGUUUACUACUAAGCAAACUGAAAUAAACAGAGUGUGACUACACCAUCAGCCCUUACUAGGUGCAAGCAAACAUACAGAGUUCACCAAUUAAGCUGCCAUAUAAAAAUGUUCAGUUAUACAACACAGCUACCUACAUGAUUUUAGUAGGGAAGUGAACUAUUAUAUAUACAACUAAUGUUCAAUAUACUACUAAAGUGAAUUCAAAAUAACUUCAACUCUUUAUUUUUGUAUUCAUACUUCAAGUUUCGGCUUACAAGAUUCAAUAAAUCAAUUGUGUACCUGGUAUUGAAAAGCAAAAGAAGAAAAGUGAUUGAUCAACACAGCAGUAGUAUACACAGCAACAGCAAAACUCAACAACAAUCAGUAAAACCCAGUAGCAAACAGUAGGAGAAACCCCAGGAACAUAUUGAAAACCAAGUAGAAAAAAUCCAAGAAACUAAUGCAACAAUGUUUGAAUCCCAAUCGAAAAAGCCCAACAAUACCAAUUGAAAACCAGUGGUAUCAAACAAUAAACACCAAAUCCCAAAUCGAGAUCGACAGUAGCUUUUGAUUUAAAGCACUUAAGAAGAAAAAAUCUGAAGCUCUCUUUUGGUCAGCUUAGCCUUAAACCUCACUCUAUCCCUCAUUAUAUUCUCUCGGGUAUUUUUCAGUAUCUUCAAGCUCUCUUCUAAGUGCCAAAAUAACUCUUAUUUAUCUCUAAAACAAGACUCUCUUCCCCUUUAAUUACUAUUCCUACCCCAUUUAUUAUUACCCCUUUUGAUUACACCCACUCCUUUCUUUACUUUCCAGCCCAAAAUAUUCCCAUCUAUGUGUAUCUUUUACCCCUUUAUUACCACUUGUACUAUUUCUGAUUUUCAAUUAAGCAAAAGCAGUCAAACAAUCCCCACAAUCCCCCCUUUUUACUAAUAUAUUAGUGUACUACUUAUUACUUAAUGGCCCCCUCAUACCAUUAUGUGUUGUACCCCAACUUAUUAAACUAAUGUUAUAGACUACUUAUCUGCCCAAUUAUUAAAACUCCUCCUAUUUAAAACAACCAACAGACCUUUUUUCUCUAAAGACAGCCCCACUUACCCGACCAAGAAUGCACAAAAUCUACCCAUUUUUACUAAAAGUUCCACUAUCUAAUGUUUUCCUUACUUUAUUCCCUAAAUCCCUCUUGUUCUCCACCAACACAUUAUUUAAAAGGCCUCUAAAUAUCCCACUAUCAAGGCUACUAAUAUUAAACAAUUUUCCUAAUUUUUCCAAUUCCUAAAUUACCCCUAAAGCUCCUAAAAAUUACUGCCAUGCCCUAUACUUUCUUAACUUGUUAUUAGAUCCUUAAAUUAUGGACCUGUUCAAUCCUAAACACUGAUUGCUAACCAUUAAUUUACAACAGCUAUAGCCAAUCCUUAAAUGAUUCCUGAUUUAACUAAAACAGAAGAAUCUGAAAUUGAAGCACAACCAGGCUACGGAUGUUCAUAGAAACAACCAAAAUAUAAAGAAAGAAAAAAAUGAAUUGAGAAUUCCGGGAAGCAACAGUUACUUAACUUAGCAAAUCAAGCAACACUUGAAUUCAAACAAUUGAACUCAAAUAACAAUUGAAUUCAAAUUAAACCAAACAACAUUACAACAAGAACACAAUGAAUAAACUAUCAUAAUUUCAGAUUAUGCCUAAAUACGAACAAGGAACAAUGUAAAUACAUUGGACGAAAAGAACUGAAUGCAUAUGCAAUGCUACGACACAGGAAAAAAAAUACUUCAAAUAAAAAAGUAGAUACCUGGUUUGUACAAGAAUCACCGAAAUGGGUGUUUCGAUCACUUCACUGAAAUAGAGCGAUUGUCAUUAGUGAGUUUUUUUUCAAUGCUCUCAACUGAAUCGGAAACAACGAGAAGGAGAUCAGGAAUUGAUUCAAUAUGAAGCCUACGAAAGAACAACCGCAUCCACGAACGAACAGAAGAGUGAAUGGACGUAGCCACGAACGAGCAGACGCAAUAAUAGCCUUCUCCGUUCUGGUGCUUGUAACGGGAUGGGCGACGGAUCGAAUCUCGUCGUUGGAAUCGUCGAGCUGAACGAUUUUCGACCUGGUUUUGGUACUGUUGGUUCCGGCGGACUAUUGGUUCGUGAAUAAUUCUGCGGACAUUUUCGAGCUGAACGAUUCCGGUGGACUAUUGGUUCGAAGAAGGUGGACGAACAGGUGGUCGCCUGGUUCGAAGAGGAAGAUGAACGGGGGCAGUGGGGUUUGACCGUGGGGGGUUGCUUGGGGGGUUCGAAGAAGAAGAACAGAGGCGGGCACUGGGGUGGUCUAGUUCGUGAGGGGGGCGGUGAGAAGGGUUGGUGGUGUGAGGAAGAUGAGAAAAAUGGGGGCUGGGUGUUCUAAGGGUGGCGGCUGAGGAGUUACUUUUAGGGUUGAUGGUUUUGUGAGUAUGUUGAAAAUGAAGAAGA
RNAcentral lists this long non-coding RNA (2583 nucleotides) under Nicotiana benthamiana. RNAcentral's name for it is "long non-coding RNA (NBEN_LNC018311)". Lineage: Eukaryota; Viridiplantae; Streptophyta; Magnoliopsida; Solanales; Solanaceae. The record is from RNAcentral.